UUUUGGGUAUAUACCCAACAGCGGGAUUGCUGGAUCAUAUGGUAGUUCAAGUUUUAGUUUUUUGAGGAACCUACAAACCGUUCUCCAUAGUGGCUGUGUCAAUUUACAUUC
Nomascus leucogenys (northern white-cheeked gibbon) is the source of this 111-nucleotide long non-coding RNA. RefSeq lists it as uncharacterized. The transcript has 3 exons. The record is from RefSeq and is a predicted model, not a curated record. Lineage: Eukaryota; Metazoa; Chordata; Mammalia; Primates; Hylobatidae.